AUGCAAACAGCAAGAGGAUUUUUAUUCCGAGCGCGCUGGGGCCCACAGUCGUACGCCACGCAGGGGUAGAGGACUGCGGCCCCGAGUGUGGAGUCAGGACAGCUUUUAUGGGGUUCAUAACAAAGCCCGCGCUUUUACAAACUAAUCAUUUUUAAAAUAUCGCAAACCAGUCAAUUCAAAACUUCGAGAGCCCGGGCUUUGUGGACCAAUUAAUUUUAAGUUGUUCUGGAGUUACAUGUUUGUGCCUGUCUCUGGGUGGGGGAGACAUAUUGUCACCAAGAUAUAUUUAUCAGGAUUUUCAACAUUUUGUGGCACGCCCGAUCUUACUGGGGUCGGUUAGGCGAUUGACUUCUCCUCUUUUUAUCUUAUGCAAGCAGGUUUACAGAAGCCAAACAAGCAGUUAGGAGCAGUUUCAAGAAGUUUCAAGCAUAGAGGCACAUACUCAGGGGCCUGUUUUUCCCCUUCCACAAAGUUUUGUACAGAGCAGAAAGCAAGCCCUAAAACAGCAAAAAGUAUGAUCUUUUACCUAUAGGGAACAGGGUCUGGAAUUCGAGGGCAUUUAGAGCUUCUUAUUAACUUCCUGGGUUCUGGGAGAGUCAGGUUGCAUUUUCAUCCUUUCAGACAUAACCCCCUGUGACUCAGUUUACGGGAAGAAAAGGGCAAAGAAACCCUGAGACUUAGGGGACAUGUCCACCCCUAAGACCCCUAUUGAACAAGCACUAAUAGAGGUAACUGGGCAAGGGCAAUGGGAGAAAACCACAGCUUUCUGGACCUCAUAUUGGUAACCCCCAUCUUUAUGGGAUUAAAAACACCUAUAGGACAAUAGAGAGGGGGACUCAUCUUCCCCCUCCCAGCUGUCCUGGGAGCUGUUUGCUUUCCUGUAAUAAAGACUUUGCUUGCUUGCUGCCUGUGUGUUCUCAAAAUUCAUUCUUUGGCUCUGUGAACAAGAACCUGGAUUUGGUAACAUCUUUCUGGCAUCAAUACCAUAAUUGGUAAUGACACAUGUAUGAAGAAAAUGCACAGGUUGUUCCUGUUGUGGCUCAGCAGUCACAAACCUGACCAGUACCCAGGACCUGGCUUGAUCCCUAUACUCGCUCAGGAGGUUAAGGAUCUGGCAUUGCCACGAGCUGUGUGUGGUGUAGAUCACAGAUGCAGCUCAGAUCUGGAGUUGCUGUGGCUGUGGCUAGGCUGGCAGCUGUAGCUCUGAUUCAACCCCUAGCCUGGGAACCUCCAUGUGUGGCCCUAGAAAGUAAACAACAAAAAAAAAAAGUUGGGGUAAGAGAGAAUUCACUGUCUCUGCCUGACUGCUCUCAAACGAGGGCAUUAGUCUUCUGCUUCUGGACUGGAACUUACACUUUUGGUUCUUCAGAUUCUCAGGACUUUGAACUCAUUCUGGAACUACACCACUGGCUCUCCUGGAUCUCCAGCUUACAGACACAUCAUGGACUUCUCAGCCUCCAUAAGCAUGUAAGCUAAUUCCAUAUAAUACAUUUCUUUAUAUCUACUCAAACAAAUACUAUUAGUUCUCUUUCUCUGGAGAACCCUGAUACAGUGGUAAAGAGGAAGUGAUGAUUUCUAGGGUCAGCGAUAUUCAGUGACCUUUCUAAGAUAUAUUGACCAUAAUGAGAUGAGAGGUAGGAGUCAGAAAUCUUUAAAGUAGGCUGUUCCAACAUUCAACACUACUAUAUAACUAUAAAUGAAAGAGUUGAAGGGCCGUAAAAUACCUUGACUAUCAGCCCACUAUUGACUGGCUUUAGCAAUAAAAGUCAGACUGUAUACAGACCAAAAAAAAGAACCCCAAAACACAAAGCAGAGGAGUUCCCAUUGUGGCGCAGCAGAAACUAAUCUGACUAGGAACCACGAGGCCUCGCUGAGUGGGUUAAGGAUCCAGCGUUGCCAUGGGCGGUGGUGUAGGUCACAGACAUGGCUUGAAUCUGGUGUUGCUGUGGCUGUGGCUAGGCUGGCAUCUGUAGCUCCAAUUGAACCGGUAGCCUGCGAACCUCCAUAUGCUGUGGGUGUGGCCUUAAAAAAGCAAAACAAGGAGUUCCCGUCGUGGCGCAGUGGUUAACGAAUCCGACUAGGAACCAUGAGGUUGCGGGUUCGGUCCCUGCCCUUGCUCAGUGGGUUAACGGUCCGGCGUUGCCGUGAGCUGUGGUGUAGGUUGCAGACGCGGCUCAGAUCCCUCGUUGCUGUGGCUCUGGCGUAGGCCGGUGGCUACAGCUCCGAUUCAACCCCUAGCCUGGGAACCUCCAUACGCCGCGGGAGCGGUCCAAGAAAUAGCAACAACAACAACAACAACAAAAAGACAAAAAGACAAAAAAUAAAUAAAUAAAUAAAUAAAAGCAAAACAAAAAACAAAGCAUGAAGCAGACUGGUUUCAAGACCAAAAUGGUGUGGUCAGAGCUGGAUGAGUGGACUAGAAUGACACUGUAACCUGAAAAAGUGUCGGCAGUGGUGAGGCACUACUGAGAUCUAGAGCCAAAGGUCUGAUACAGUCAAUAAGCCAGGAGACGGGGGGAGGCCAUGCCUUGUGCUCGUGGCCUCACUCAAGGGUAGACAAACAGGAGUCAUAAGCCUGGCAUGCAGUGGUAGCCUCUGCGUCGGAAGCAUAAGCUUUUCAGCUUUGUGCCUAGGCUGCGAUGGUGCGUGUGAUGCCAUGUCAGGUGUGAUGAUGGGUCCAGGCAACAAUGGUAGAUACCUGGGUGGUACAGGAAGCUUGAUUAUAGUUGGUCUCAUCAAAGAAAGUGUCCUCUUUGAAUAAGCCAUGAAUGACCCAGACAAUUCAAUUAAUAGCUGUAAUUCACUUCUACUUUGGGGCCCCGAGGAAGAGUAUCUUGGACAGUCUGCAAUCUUCUAAGUGAAAGACUAAAAGACCCGGUCACUGGCAACAGCCCCAGAAUCAAUAAAAAUGACAACCUAUCCAGGUCCUAGGAAUAUUGUCUAAGGUAAGGGUGGCAGUUUUCAAUACAGCCCUUUGUCCUGAUCAAGCCCUCAGCAUAGUCAGUCUUCCAGAAUUCUCACUGGGCGCCAAAAGCUUGCCGCUCAGCCAGACCAUCAGUGAACCAGGCCCUUGGAGAAGUCUCUGAACCAAGGGGCCCAGUGAGCUAGUAGCUUUGCUUCACACAGCCAGGAGGGGAAUACCUUUCCUCUGAAGGAAUAGCUGUCAUUUUUCAUGGAAAACUAAGAUGCUGAGGCUGGCCACAUCCCAGCCAUUUCCACUUGACUAGGCAACUGCUGGGCUUUCUUGUUAGUUGUCAAAUCUGAGUUGAUAUGGCUUCCAUGGGUCAAAUGUUUGGUUUCAGCAAGAGCUCUGUAAUAGCCUAAUCGUAAUUCCUUUUUUAUUUGGUAUUUGCAAAAAUACACCGUUGUACUGGGAAGUGGCCUGAGUGCUCCAGCAGUCACCAAGUUUGCAACUAAAGCUGUGAUUUUCAUUUCUUUCUUCUCAGAAUUCCAUAUUGUUUUUUUUUGGUGGAAGACUCAAGAGGAGACAGAGGCCACUUCUCUCUAUGCAGAGGUAGUCCCUGAAUGGGAGACUUAGAGCAUUCACAGUUCAAUCAAAUGUACAACUGACGGCAGUAACACACGGAUGUGAAAGCCACAAAAUAUUAGUACGCUGAAUCCGUUUAGAGGGUCCCCCUACAGCUCAUUUUAAUUUUCCUUUCCUAUUGCAAAUUUUGUCCAAACCCCACCAGAAUUCAGGCACUUUCUCCUCCUCCAUGGGAAGCCAAACCAAGCAGUUUAAAAUAGGCAGGCUGCAGGCUAUAGCCAUUGUGAGACUAGGACUCUCCCAGCCAAGAGUGUGGGGACAUCACAGGAGUGGGAGGAGCCAGCCUACAGGGGCAGCUGGGUCAGUGAAAAGGCCUUUUCUCCUGACUCCUGCUCGGGGAUCAGUGCUGCCUCUUCCCUACUUCUUGGCUCUUACAUGCACCUGUGGCUCAGGGAUGCUAUUUUGUUUGGAGCCCCCACCCCCACCCCCCACACCACACCACUGUGGAUCUGCCCCCAGUCCUUGGCACUUACGACCAUUCCUAUGCCCAGGGUUCCCUGUCCUCAAGCGACAAAGUAGUAUGGUGACUUAGAUGCUUAUAUUCAAUUGUGUUAUAAAAGGGGAAUCCCUCCCCUCCUCAAAGAUCCCCCCACAUACCCCGCUUCUUUCCUUAAAGCAGGAGAAGGAGUGGGAGGGAUCAGGUCAUGUACUUACUUUUGUUUCAGGUAGUCACCUGCUUGGACUGAACAAACUCUCAGGAUUUUUGGUCCAUUCAAAGCUCUAUAUCCUAACUGCUGACACCACUUACUUCACUUUUGGGGCACCCUUUCCUCAUCAAUCACAACCAUUCUGCUACAUACCUGGGGCCACAGGCUCGCUGCCUCAUUGUCAAAACAUCCUUUCCUUCUCCUGCACCAAGGAGAACGAGCAACAACCUAAGUACCAGCUGGGCAGUGUUUCAGUCCUACCUCCUGCUGCUUAGUCUCAGAACAUUAAUAUGCAAGACAGCCAAGGACCCUUACUUCCCUCCUCACUCAGCAGUAUUUGCUACCAGACCCCAAAUUAUCUUCUCAAAUCCUCACCUGGCCCAUGACCUUUCUCUUCUGGAAAGGCUUGUCAGGAUACCAUCCCUUUUACCAAAUCGUCAAGAGUAGUGCAUGAAGGGUCUCGAAUUUCAUCCUACUUGCAAACUAACAGGUUAACUUAUUAUUUUUUCAUGGAUAUUGGCAGAUGACAUGAGACUCCGGAUCAGAGACAAAGAACUUUAUUACUUAGAGCGCAGCAAGCAGUAAGAAGCACCUUUGUGCCAGUUCCCAUCCCCGCUCCCCAACAAAAGCGUCACGGGUAGGUCUAGAUGGAUGCCUCAACCUGCAGUGGGUUGUGUCACAGGAAAAAAAACUCUGAGCUUAAGGGAGUCAGCACUUUCACAGUAAAGAGUGGGCCAACGUGCUCCCAGGGAAGAGACGUGACCUCCUCUCUCCAGGUUGCUAACUACCAACACAACACUGAGUUACGGCCCAGGCAAAGAGUGGGCAGGCUCUCGAGUUCACACAAAGCAAGAACGUGCAGGGAUGCUCAGGGCUCUUGGCCGACUGCCUCUCCCAAGGCUUUCUCCUUCUCCAGGGGGUCACCUGCCACAGCAUUAUAAACCAAGUCCCGGGCACUAAGAGCCUGGACACUAUUUGAUGGUUUCCCAGAAAAGUCUGUCAGUCACAGGGAAAUAUUCCCAGAGCCAAAGCUCCCUUACAGCAGCCAAGACCCACUGCAAAAAAAUUCUGACACCUUUACUACUGCCUCUGAACGGAUCUAAAGCUGGCGUGAUAAACUAUGGGAAGAGGCUGGCUACAAGACAACCUACCAUUGCCACCCCUCCUCACCCGAGCCAACCAGCCCAAGUUCUAACAGUUCACAUGGUUUCUGUGCACAGAGGUAGGGACGCCCCUCCUUUCACGCUUGUGCAGGUGUGUCUCUGUCGGGAAGCAGGAGGAACCUGCUGUCCACCUGGGAUGAACACUAGCGUCCGCAGUUUCAAUGGGUGGAUGACUGCUCGAUUACUGAGGAAGUCCUCCUGCUCAGAGGAGACAGCACCAUCGAGCAGCUUCUGAGCAACUCCCAGUACUAAGAGCCCACAACCACCUCCCCAAUCCUCAUGAACAGGCAAUAAUGUGUUUAAAACAUUAUUUUGAGAAGCAGGUCAUAGACAACACCCGACUGGCGUGAAAGAUCCAUGGCAUAAAAAAAGGUUAAGAAUCCUUGUCAGUUAUUCUUGAAGAGGUUGUGGAUAUCAGCGGAGUUAUCUGAGCACGUGUGCUUUCAGGCUAGUGAAGAAUAUUCUAUUUAAAAACAUUAGGGGCUGUCAGUGGGGACAGGAUAUAUUUUUACAAAAAAUACUGUGGUAUUAGCAGUUUUCUGAUAACUUCCAACAGGGAGACAGGGUUUGGGUCAGGGAGGAGAGGUGUCUAGUCAUGGGUGGAGACACGGUAGAAAGUUGGAAAGAGAAAGCUCAAAAUUGAGUAGAAACCUGGGACUCAAGGAGAAAUACAACUUGGGUGUAUUCAAAGGAACUUUUACAUUUUCUUCCAUUCCUUAACAUUGUUCUGAAGCAAAAAGAGUUGUUUCUAAAGAUAUAGGAAAACACGAAUUAUCAAACACACAUUAGCAGCUCAAAUUUGCAAAUGCAAAUGAAAAACAGCUGUCUUUCCCCACUCUCUUCUGCAUUCUUAAACAUUUGGAAGACUUAAGUCCACCCUAGACAGGUGUGAGGAGUAGAGAAACAGGAGGAAAAUUCGACGGAUGUCAGGGUUUCCUGGUGAGAGGGGGGCUGCAGACCUACUAAAAAGAGUUAAGAAUAGCCCAGCAACAUUCAGAACUGGCUGGAGUGACCACUCGGUUAAAACGUGUCAAAACCCAGCCAGAGGGGCUCUGCAGCUUUACCAAGGGCACCCACACUGAGGCUUGAGCACAUUCAAGUGAUGGGAAACUGUCCUGAAAUCCCGUAAUUGGGAAGGUGGGGUGGUGGGGGUACUGCAAGAGGACCAUGUGGCUGGACUGCUAACCCACUUCUUUAUUUAUCAAAUUGAUACUGCCUUAACUGGUUACUGGAAUCAGGGAAAAACCUUCAGCGAUCCAUACAGCCUAAGAAAUUUCCAAGUGGGGCUUAUGGGCAGAUUUAAGGGAUUACAGGAUUCAUAUUUGAUUAAAACAUUCAUCAGAAAUGUUUUUAUAUGUGGGCAUUUCAAGGGGGUUAAGGAGCCUCCAUAAUCUGAAAGUAUACAUAUCUGAAACCUCUUUGACAGGUUCAGACACUUAGUCCUAGAAAAUGAAUGAGAUUUGCCCAAGGUCACAAAUUAGAACAGAGCUAGAAACAGCCCAGGUCUUUUGUCUCUCACUUGAGGACCUCUUUACCUGCCCCCAACUCUCCCAAACCAAUUUCCUUCCUUGGGAUAGUGAAAAACUAAACUACAGACAAACAUAUCAAGUAAUAGGGAAAUAGUUAAAACUAUUUCUACUAUGGAAUACUAUGCAGCUAUUAAAAAUGCAUGUGACCUAUGUAUAGUGAC
RNAcentral lists this long non-coding RNA (7047 nucleotides) under Sus scrofa (pig). RNAcentral's name for it is "lncRNA (ENSSSCG00015040703.1)". The record is from RNAcentral. Lineage: Eukaryota; Metazoa; Chordata; Mammalia; Artiodactyla; Suidae.